RNAcentral lists this unclassified non-coding RNA (234 nucleotides) under Hevea brasiliensis (rubber tree). Lineage: Eukaryota; Viridiplantae; Streptophyta; Magnoliopsida; Malpighiales; Euphorbiaceae. The record is from RNAcentral.
AGAGACUAUUGUUAAUUGCAAUACAUGCAGGGAGAGAGUUAUUGUUCAUGAUGUGAAGUUGUAAUUAUAGAUAGUUUAGUUAUGUUUAGGAGAAAAUGAGAGGGACAAACUAUUCUAUUUACUUUGAGUAGUAUGUGUGUGGUAUCUCUUGGGUAUAAUAGGGUUAAUAGGCAGUGAGUGAAGUUUCGAGCUUAUUGAUAUAUUUAUUAUUUGAUGAUAAUGGAAGAUGACAUA